AGGCGGGGCUGAGGCCCGCAGAGCUGCCUGGUGCCGCUGCCUUCUUUUGUCUCUACCCAUAUGUUGGGCACACAGUGGUACAGCCAGGGACGGCCGGCGGGGUGGGGGGGGAAAUGCCGGUGCCUCUCGCACAUGCGCCGACGGGUCCCUGACGCGGAAGUCUGUUGGAGGGAGCGGGUCCCGGGGCCGAGCCGGGCCCGUCCCGGGCUGCCGCUCCCGCUGUGCCGGGACCUGCUUCGCCGAGGAGGGCUAUUCAAUAUCUUUCACUUGUCCUGGUUGCUGCCAGCGCAGUGUGCCGGGGCCAGGCCGGUUGUGCGCGCUCGGGAGCUCUCCCUGGAGGCCGGGCGGCUCUGGGGGGCUCCGGUGCGGUGCAGGCUUGUAGAUGUUCGUCCUCGGUUCCCUCAGUGCGAACAAAAGCCGUGUACGUGUUUGACGUACUCAGGGUUCUCCUGGCCUGCGGUGAACACCAGCAGCUGCGUGAGGACGCGAGGCUGUGGGCUGGCCGCAGCCGGGAGAAGGCAGGCCGCGCCGGCCCCGUUCUCUGGGACCUGCAAGAGAUACAGGGCUGAAAACAAAGACAUCCAAACCUUGAGCCAUUUAGAAGAGGAAGAAGCCAAAAUCUGUGCCAGAGGUUUGACUGCUGGGAUACUCAUGGCUUCAGGUUGGUCUCACGGGGCUCGGUCUGUUGGGAGGAUUUUCUGAGAUGCAUCUGAAUAGCUCACAGCUGGAUGGCUUCAGCUCUGACCCCACGACCCGAGUGAGGUUUCCCACUCACCGUAUUCCUGGAAUGACACAGGGGCUCUGGCUGGAGUCAGGCCAGGACAUUAGAGGAAACUGCUUUUGUGGCACUUCUGUGUUUAAUACCUAGAGGACAGAUUUCCCACUGCAUCUCUCUGCAGCAUUUGACUCUGUUGACCAUGAAACUCUUCAUGUCCCUGCUGAGGAGGGGAUUUGCAGUCUGGUGGUAGUGGUUCAGUGGAACAUACUCAGUUAUUAGAGAUGAAAACAUACUACUUCUAAUGCCUGGAUGUGGUGCUGUCCCACUAAGACUUAUGCUUUUCCCCUUUUUUGCUGACCCAAUUGAACACAAAGUCAUUGGGGUGUGGGAGACAUUGCUGCAGCCCAGAACACUUCAAUAGCUCAUGCUGGUUGUGCCAUUCCUUUGUGUUUUAAGAUAAUACAUAGUCAAGUUCAAAGUCUCAGUCCUUGAGAGCCUUAGUAGUCUGGAUCAAAGUAUCUAAAAAAGUAACCUUAUUAGCACCAUCUGAUUUGUAUGAGAGCCUUGCCAUUUUCCAUUGCAGCAAAAGGAAAGAAGUGGCCCUCUGAUACCCUCCUCCAGUAGUUUUAAGCAUUGCCCAGUAUCUCUCUGAAAUGUGGUAAAAAAAUAAUCUUACCUGAGACUAGCACUUCUCUUACAGAGAUUACCACCAUGUGCAGAUUCUCUUGCACUUCACAUGAACAGGGAAUGUUCACUGCCUCUGGAACAUGUGUGCCUCCAGACAAGCACAGGGCAACACAGUGUUUCACCAACAGAAUGGUGGCUGGCUCCUUGGAACAAUGCCAGGAGUGCCUGGUUAUCUGUGCAGUCUAUAAUGUCUCUCCCUAGCCUUAAUACACACACACAUUCCCCACAUACAUAAUGCUUAUCUUUAAUUUUCUGUGUGCCCAAACCAUACAAUUUCUAAAGAGAGUUAAAAAUAUCAAAUUAAUUCAGAAGACAGAGGUGAAAAGGAUAAUUCUGAGAUAUUCACAGGGUUGGUAGUAGUAACAAGAGAGACAGUUUCUGUCUUUUUUUGAUACUGAAGUUAAUUGCAGGCAUCUAGGGUUUAAAGACCUUGUGUUAUUAAUGGGAGUGUGUUAGCAAAAGGGGGGACUCUAACAUUAAACUGAAAUUUAGCAUGUACAGUAGGUUGUCAAGAGAAAAAACAAUAAGAACAAAGGGGACUGCUAUUAUCUUUUAUUAUUAUCUUUUAAUUCCCCCCCAUUUUCCUUCUGCAUGCUCUCUCUUUGUCAGCCUUCUCUCUUUCAAUAAUUACAAUAAUCAACUUACAAUGAUAACAGAAAUAAUCUCUUGCAAGAUAACUAAACAAACCACGUUAUCUGUACUGAACUGUGCUUACUUACAGUAGGUACAUCACUUAUGGAAAAGCCAAUAAAAUUUUAAUUAAAAAAG
RNAcentral lists this long non-coding RNA (2173 nucleotides) under Serinus canaria (Common canary). RNAcentral describes it as "lncRNA (ENSSCAG00000013716.1)". Lineage: Eukaryota; Metazoa; Chordata; Aves; Passeriformes; Fringillidae. The record is from RNAcentral.